UACAGAGGUCUCAAGCGUUGUUCGGAUUCAUUGGGCGUAAAGGGUGCGUAGGCGGCGCGGUAAGUCGGGUGUGAAAUCUUGGAGCUUAACUCCGAAACUGCAUUCGAUACUGCCGUGCUUGAGGACUGGGGAGGAGACUGGAAUUUACGGUGUAGCGGUGAAAUGCGUAGAUAUCGUAAGGAAGACCAGUGGCGAAGGCGGGUCUCUGGACAGUUCCUGACGCUGAGGCACGAAGGCCAGGGGAGCAAACGGG
RNAcentral lists this ribosomal RNA (253 nucleotides) under uncultured bacterium. RNAcentral's name for it is "partial 16S ribosomal RNA". It matches the Rfam family "Bacterial small subunit ribosomal RNA", at positions 524 to 776 of the family's 1533-position model. The record is from RNAcentral.